This 24-nucleotide microRNA is filed under the name Ananas comosus (pineapple). RNAcentral's name for it is "microRNA s0333_c11a". The record is from RNAcentral. Lineage: Eukaryota; Viridiplantae; Streptophyta; Magnoliopsida; Poales; Bromeliaceae.
CACAGGAAUCCUUUGUUCACACAU